AGAGCUUGCUCUUAUGAAGUUAGCGGCGGACGGGUUAGUAUCACGUGGGUAACCUGCCCAUGGACUGGUAUAAUUUCGGGAGACCGGGGCUAAUACCGGAUAACAUUUUGAACCGCAUGGUUCGAAAUUGAAAGGCGGCUUCGGCUGUCACUUAUGGAUGGACCCGCGUCGCAUUAGCUAGUUGGUGAGGUAACGGCUCACCAAGGCAACGAUGCGUAGCCGACCUGAGAGGGUGAUCGGCCACACUGGGACUGAGACGGCCCAGACUCCUACGGGAGGCAGCAGUAGGGAAUCUUCCGCAAUGGACGAAAGUCUGACGGAGCAACGCCGCGUGAGUGAUGAAGGCUUUCGGGUCGUAAAACUCUGUUGUU
RNAcentral lists this ribosomal RNA (371 nucleotides) under Bacillus sp. TH205. RNAcentral's name for it is "bacterial SSU rRNA". It matches the Rfam family "Bacterial small subunit ribosomal RNA", at positions 75 to 440 of the family's 1533-position model. The record is from RNAcentral. Lineage: Bacteria; Bacillati; Bacillota; Bacilli; Caryophanales; Bacillaceae.